RNAcentral lists this ribosomal RNA (450 nucleotides) under uncultured bacterium. RNAcentral describes it as "partial 16S ribosomal RNA". It matches the Rfam family "Bacterial small subunit ribosomal RNA", at positions 354 to 796 of the family's 1533-position model. The record is from RNAcentral.
GUGGGGAAUCUUCCGCAAUGGACGAAAGUCUGACGGAGCAACGCCGCGUGAGUGAAGAAGGUUUUCGGAUCGUAAAGCUCUUUCGUUAGGGACGAACGUGCUCUUUGUGAAUAAUGAGGAGUAAUGACGGUACCUAAAUAAGAAGCCACGGCUAACUACGUGCCAGCAGCCGCGGUAAUACGUAGGUGGCAAGCGUUGUCCGGAAUUAUUGGGCGUAAAGCGCGCGCAGGCGGGAUAUCAAGUCUGUCUUAAAAGUGCGAGGCUCAACCUCGUGAGGGGACAGAAACUGGUAUUCUUGAGUGUCGAAGAGGAAAGUGGAAUUCCAAGUGUAGCGGUGAAAUGCGUAGAGAUUUGGAAGAACACCAGUGGCGAAGGCGACUUUCUGGACGAUGUCUGACGCUGAGGCGCGAAAGCUAGGGGAGCGAACGGGAUUAGAUACCCCUGUAGUCC